AGUACAGGGAGGCAGAGCUGCCAGCUCCUGUACCCCCAGCCACAGAGGGUAAGGAGGAGGGUGCUGUCUCUGCCUGGUUUGUCACCGUUCCUCUUGGGAUCCCGUUCUGCAGCCUCCAGCUCACCUUCAGGCUCCUGUCCUCACCCUACGGGCUGUUUCCUCCCAGAAGCUUCCAUGCAUUCCCUUGUUUCCUAAAUCCGUGUACAUGCGUUUGUAGUUUGUCUGACUGGAACCAAGAUGCAGUUCAAGAUCUGCCUCCUCCAGGCAGCCCUCCCAGCUGGGCUCCUGGAGUUGGUUUUUUUCCUUCAGGAAGGAUCCUCCAGGACAGAUGUCCAAGUGUUUAGAGGGGACAGGACCGUCCACGCCACUCCAGCCAGGCUUCCUUCACACCGCCACAGCCCCCACUCCUUGUCCGGUGAGCCAUCUCCCAGGGCCUGGAGCUCAUCAGUGCUCCUAUGUGUGGGGUCAGCAGUGGCCUGCCCUGGAGGACGCUGCCGCCUUCCCGAUGCUCUCUGCCCACAGAAACCCCCAACCCCCCUGGCAGCCAAGGGAACUGAGCCUGUGGCCCCCGGACAGCAAGCCCUGAGGUGUCCUCCUAGGAGGACUGUCCACUGCUUCAGGGCCCCUCCUGCACCUCCCUGCUCUGUGCUGGACAUGUGGCCUGGGGCUUCCGGGCUUGGCUCUGUCGCAUGUUGCCUUCCCUGGAGCUUGGCUUCCUAGACAGGGUCCCACCAAGCCUACAUGGACCAGAGCCGUGGGUGCGGUGAGGUCCGUGUCUGUGUGUGGGGCCCUCACGCCGUGGCCGUGGUGGCACAGUGGGCUGGGGGAAGCCCCUCUGGCGCUGCUGGCCCUGCAGCUGGCACCGGCUUCUGCCUGUUGCAACAGAGGUGGAAGUGAGGGCAGUGGUCCAGUGGGCAACAGCAGCCUGGCCCCUCAGGAACUGUGCCAGUCGGUGGAUGAGGGAGUGGGUGGGCAGGGCCCCUCCCCACAACAGUCAGCCGCUGUGGGCAUUGGCCCUCCUGGGGAGGCCAGACAGGAUCGAGUCACCGUUUUUCCUGAUACUGCUGGAAUGUGGCCUCGGGGAGCAUGUCGGGUACAAUACCAGGAGCGAUUGAAGGAGAGGGACCAGGCUGGGUGUGUGGUCAGCAGGGUUGAGGCCAGGACUCUGGGCUCCACCAAGAGCUAGUGGGCCGGCCCCUGCCUUCCUGAGCCUCACUUUCAUUUUGUCCAUAUGGGAGAUGGGACAGUGACUCUCAUGGAGGGGCUGGGUGAGGAUUAGGGUGAUGAGGGUCUAAGGCAGCUAGGGAAGGUCCCAACAUUGACUCUUUCUCUUCCUCUGAGUAGAUAGAAGACACAGCUCAGCCUGGCUACACACAGACACAUGCAGCACACACGGGUCCACGUGCGUCCCGCACACGCGUGAGUGUACAUGCACAGGUAAACAUGCAGCUCAUGCCCACAGCGCACACAUGGGUCCACGUGCGUCCGGCACACACGUGAGUGUACGUGCACAGGUAAACAUGCGUGCAGUACAUGGCCGCAGCACACACACGGGUAUAUGUGCAUGCAUGGGUCCAUACGCACACAGGCCCUAGGGGUGUGGCCAUACAUGCCCACCCUGGCAUCUGCCUUGAGGGGCUGGAGGGAGGUGGGGGACGCUCUCCGUCCACAGAGAGACUGCUUUUGUGUGUGGCCGCCCUGCCAGGAAAGCGCUGGAGACGCAGCGUCACAGGAGGAAGAGCCAAGGGGUAAAGAGAAUUCCUGAGCGGGUGGAAGGUGGGCCCCAGCACGGCCCAGAGCUCCUUUUUAUACACGUAUUGGCCGCUCUCCUUUGUUGCCCAAGUUGGGAGGACGUGGAGAUGAUGGGGGUUUUGCUGCCUUGCGCCUGCACGGGCCAGGCCGGCCCGCAGUCCUGAAUCAUAAUGGCCACAGUCUCCAGGCUGGCCAGCAGUGUCCGGCAGCUCGCCAGCAAAAGGGCUCCCUGGGCUCAUUGACAUUCUCUGGCGGCCACCUCUAACUGGUGGACACGGCCCUCCCAUUUGUACCUUCAGAAAUACAUAGCCGGGGUCCCUGGGGGCUGUAGUAGGGACAGCUGGGGUCCCUGCUGUGGUCAAGGCCUGGAUUUCAUGUGACUCCAGGGCCACUGGAACAUCCGUCUCUAUGGGUCUCCCAACAGGAGGGCAGCCAAGCAUGCGGGCAGCCCUGGGCAGGGACGCCUCCUCACCUGGCGUUUCGCAGCAUGAGUCCUAUGAGGGGAAACCUUCCAUGGCAUGUGUGGGAGCCUCUUGUGGGCAGACCCGCCGAGGAUCACCACCCCGGGGUGGGAAAGGUGUUCCCUGGUCAGUAGUGAAUAAACAAACAGGGAACCAGAAGUCCCUGCCAGCCCAGAACGCUGCCCGGGGAGCCAGCGCGUGGUCACCAGGGCACAGCAGAGCUCUGCACGCGCCAGGCUGCGUUUGCACCGCACAGGUCCUAGAGUUUGAGGACAGUGUGAUGGUUGCUCAUGGUGUAGGAUUUCUCUCCUGGCAGGGGGAUGGGGUCACAGAACCCCUGCACAGCGCUCUCUGUACCCGUAGCCCCCAGGAGCCUCUUAGUUUUGUUGUGGUCUUGAGGAUGGCACGACGUGUCCCUGAGCGCCCUCAGUGUGGACAGCUGGGCUUUAAACUCACUUCAGACCUGCCGUGUGGGGGUGGCCCCUCUGAGGGCUUGAGGUUAUUUACUUGUGCAGUUUCUCCCUCCCGGCCUAGGCUUUUCUGUUUUGCAGCCCUUUGGUGUUAGUAAGAAACAAGCUCCCUUCCCCUUUUAAAGCCCACAGACCUCCCCGCCCCGACCAGCACUGUCAGGGCGUCAGGGUGUCUGAGCUCAGCUCCUUCCUGGCGGCAUCCUGCAAAAAGAUACACUCGCUCCAUGACUUGGAAAA
Long non-coding RNA from Cercocebus atys (sooty mangabey), 2920 nucleotides. RefSeq lists it as uncharacterized. NCBI's taxonomy places the organism in Eukaryota, Metazoa, Chordata, Mammalia, Primates, Cercopithecidae. The transcript has 2 exons. The record is from RefSeq and is a predicted model, not a curated record.